Molecule: long non-coding RNA, 755 nt
Organism: Mugil cephalus (flathead mullet)
Lineage: Eukaryota; Metazoa; Chordata; Actinopteri; Mugiliformes; Mugilidae
Exons: 4
Source: RefSeq, a predicted model, not a curated record
GGCUUAUAUAUACAGUGUAUAUACCCUUUGACAUGCGUACACAACACGUCUGCGCCUCCUUUUAUCAAGGCAACAGAUUUUGGUGAAUUGUACAUCAGAAUCCUUGUUUAGUAUUCGACCAGAGGAAGCAGGACAUCACCACCCGUACGACUCAAGGUCCUAUGCGCCGCUUGUAAACACAAGGCGAAUUGUUCAUAUUUAACCAGAUAAAAGACAGCUAUGCCUUUUCCUUUUUAAUUAUUAAGCCGUCCCUCAGCUCCACCUGUCCUGAGAUUCCCUGAAUAAUUUAUGGCGGAUUAAAGCCACGCUUUGUAAAAGACUGGACUCCAAGAGGCAACGUUGUGAAUUAUGGGGCCGAUUUAUUUGAUAAAACACAUCUCAGGGUUGGACCUGCAUCGGUGUUUGAAGGCUGACACUGAUGCAGGUGGACGUGAGGCUGCUGACUGCUUGUGUUUUGUGCUGAAGAGUUCCUGCUGUUCCUCUUUAAUCCGUGGAGGCUCUGGUUCCCCCUGCUCCAGACUGGAGUUCCUCUCCUGGUUACAGGGCUGCUCGUCGACAAGAACCUCCUCCUUCUCACCGUCAUGUUGCUGAGCCAACUUCCACCAAAGGAGAACAGGAUGGCAUCCAACAGUUUGCGCUGACGCUCGAUCCUUUCCUCGUAUCGUCCCGCGGUUUCUUCGAAUAACGUGAAUAUCUCGUCGGCGGCGGCGGUUAAUCGGUCGUUGAUCAACCGCCUCAGAUACUGAACCGAAGAC